This 480-nucleotide ribosomal RNA is filed under the name uncultured bacterium. RNAcentral describes it as "bacterial SSU rRNA". It matches the Rfam family "Bacterial small subunit ribosomal RNA", at positions 328 to 800 of the family's 1533-position model. The record is from RNAcentral.
CCUGUAGACUCCUACGGGAGGCAGCAGUAGGGAAUCUUCGGCCAUGGACGGAAGUCUGACCGAGCAACGCCGCGUGAGUGAAGAAGGUUUUCGGAUCGUAAAGCUCUGUUGUAAGAGAAGAACGAGUGUGAGAGUGGAAAGUUCACACUGUGACGGUAUCUUACCAGAAAGGGACGGCUAACUACGUGCCAGCAGCCGCGGUAAUACGUAGGUCCCGAGCGUUAUCCGGAUUUAUUGGGCGUAAAGCGAGCGCAUGCGGUUAGAUAAGUCUGAAGUUAAAGGCUGUGGCUUAACCAUAGUACGCUUUGGAAACUGUUUAACUUGAGUGCAGAAGGGGGGAGUGUAAUUCCAUGUGUAGCGGUGAAAUGCAUAGAUAUAUGGAGGAACACCGGUGGCGAAAGCUGCUCUCUGGUCUGUAACUGACGCUGAGGCUCGAAAGCGUGGGGAGCAAACAGGAUUAGAUACCCUGGUAGUCCUAUC